UACCAUAAGUUACAGAAUGUAUAGAGAACCAUAUACACAGAACAAAACCGAAUAACAGGCGCCGGAAGAACGAAACUCUAGUUACAGCAGGCCCUUCAAACUCCACUCUUGUGAUUUUGAUGCAAAUUUUAGGUUUACGCCUCACUACCAGGAGGCGCUGAUGUCACUUCUCCCAUGCAUAGCUUGUAUCACUGAUAUUAACACACAACUAAAGAUAUCGUGACGUCAUGUUCCUACGAAAUUUGUCGCUGCGUUUUUCAAUUGUUUCAAAAUUUAAAGAGACAAAAGAAAUAUGGCGCACAUGGUUGCACAUGGUGGCAGCGUAGAUGACUGAAUUUCCAGAUAUUUUUUAAAGUUUUUUCUAGGUUUUGAGGUUUUUCAAUAACUUCUGCAGUUGAGAUGCAGCAACAGGAAGAGAAGAUAGAAAUUAAAAAGAGGAAGAAAAUAUGCAUCAUCAGAGGGUGUAUUAACGAAAACAGCAGAAUGUUCUGCUUCCCCUAAGAGAGAAAGGAUUAGUAGAGGAUGGCACAGUGGGUGAAAGUAUGUGACAACCCAAAAUCAGUGCUUCCAUCUAAAAACUGAAAUUCCGGGUGGUCUGUAGUAGCUACUUUAAAGAAAAAUACUUCAUGAGGAAAAGAUUAACAACAUCAGCAGUUCUAACACUGAACUUACUUGUGUCAGAGGCUACCUCUAUUAAAAUAGAGCAACAAGACAC
Molecule: long non-coding RNA, 715 nt
Organism: Osmia bicornis bicornis
Lineage: Eukaryota; Metazoa; Arthropoda; Insecta; Hymenoptera; Megachilidae
Exons: 4
Source: RefSeq, a predicted model, not a curated record